CCUACGGGAGGCAGCAGUAGGGAAUCUUCCGCAAUGGACGAAAGUCUGACGGAGCAACGCCGCGUGAGCGAUGAAGGCCUUCGGGUCGUAAAGCUCUGUUGUCAGGGAAGAACAAGUACCGGAGUAACUGCCGGUACCUUGACGGUACCUGACCAGAAAGCCACGGCUAACUACGUGCCAGCAGCCGCGGUAAUACGUAGGUGGCAAGCGUUGUCCGGAAUUAUUGGGCGUAAAGCGCGCGCAGGCGGUUCCUUAAGUCUGAUGUGAAAGCCCCCGGCUCAACCGGGGAGGGUCAUUGGAAACUGGGGAACUUGAGUGCAGAAGAGGAGAGCGGAAUUCCACGUGUAGCGGUGAAAUGCGUAGAGAUGUGGAGGAACACCAGUGGCGAAGGCGGCUCUCUGGUCUGUAACUGACGCUGAGGCGCGAAAGCGUGGGGAGCGAACAGGAUUAGAUACCCUGGUAGUCACGCCGUAAACGAUGAGUGCUAAGUGUUAGAGGGUUUCCGCCCUUUAGUGCUGCAGCAAACGCAUUAAGCACUCCGCCUGGGGAGUACGGCCGCAAGGCUGAAACUCAAAGGAAUUGACGGGGGCCCGCACAAGCGGUGGAGCAUGUGGUUUAAUUCGAAGCAACGCGAAGAACCUUAC
This 644-nucleotide ribosomal RNA is filed under the name bacterium SC35-25. RNAcentral describes it as "bacterial SSU rRNA". It matches the Rfam family "Bacterial small subunit ribosomal RNA", at positions 338 to 974 of the family's 1533-position model. The record is from RNAcentral.